ACAGAAGGAUUUGGUACCCGGUGGCCCGCAUCAUCCGGAUCGCAGGCAAUCUGAAGUCCCCUCGUGGCCCUGUGUCCUCCACUCCCGAGUCCUCGCGGGACCGUGGCGGGGCGCCGAUCGCCUUGUGCAGGAAGCGAGGAACGUCAGAGAGGAAGUAGGUUGUGUGAGGAAGGCUGAUCUCAAGCCACGAUCUCUCCGCUGUCCUCUGUCCCGGGCCGGGUUGGCGAUCGGUCGCUUUGCCCCAGAACCAGGAAAUGGGCGCACUCCCGGCAGAGGAAGCUUGGGGAGCCCCACAGCCUCUGCGCGCUGGUCUGCUGCCCGGGUGUCUCGCUUGCUCGCAGUGGGGAGCAUAGGAAGCUGACAGUCCAUCAACAGGUAGAGGGAGAGGUAAGCGCAGGACAGAUUGGAAGCAAGAGGGGACAGAAAAAGCAAAGCCCAAGAGAGCAAGAAAGCACCAUUAGCUUUCGGAAUGGACACAGUGGCCCCUAAGCAGGAGAUUUAAAAAAAAAAAUCUGUUUUCCGUUCCUGGGAGUAAUCCUUCAAGAUAUAGGAUAUGUCAGAGAACUCAGGUUUCCUUUACUCUCCUAUUUUCAUGCUAUUUUGCUUCCUACAUGUUCCAGACUGACCGAAGGCCAAACUUGGGCCUUCCAGUCUUGUCUUAGUCUUGUUUCCGGUUCAAACAGAAGAAAAUAAAUAAAUAA
This 701-nucleotide long non-coding RNA is filed under the name Rattus norvegicus (Norway rat). Its description in RNAcentral is "long non-coding RNA NONRATT026248". Lineage: Eukaryota; Metazoa; Chordata; Mammalia; Rodentia; Muridae. The record is from RNAcentral.